Molecule: ribosomal RNA, 497 nt
Filed under: uncultured bacterium
Lineage: Bacteria
Description: partial 16S ribosomal RNA
Rfam family: Bacterial small subunit ribosomal RNA
Source: RNAcentral
GAUGAACGCUGGCGGCGUGCCUAAUACAUGCCAGUCGAGCGAACGGACGAGAAGUUCGUUUCUCUUAUGUUAGCGGCGGACGGGGGAGUAAUACGUGGAUAGCCUACCUAUAUGACUGGGAUAACUUCGGGAAACCGGAGCUAAUACCGGAUAAUAUUUUGAACCGCAUGGUUCAAAAGUGAAAGAAGGUCUUUCUGUCACUUAUAGAUGGAUCCGCGCUGCAUUAGCUAGUUGGUGAGGUAACGGCUUACCAAGGCAACGAUGCAUAGCCGACGUGAGGGGGUGAGCGGCCACGCUGGCACUGAGACAGGGUCCAGACUCCUACGGGAGGCAGCAGUAGGGAAUCUUGCGCAAUGGGCGAAAGCCUGACGGAGCAGCGCCGCGUGAGUGAUGAAGGUCUUCGGAUCGUAAAACUCUGUUAUUAGGGAAGAACAUAUGUGUAAGUAACUGUGCACAUCUUGACGGUACCUAAUCAGAAAGCCACGGCUAACUACGUG